UUUUUUUUUUUUUUUCUGUCCACCCUAAAAGAAAAUGUCCCUAUCCAAAUCUUUAUGCCUCCUCUCUUUGUGGACCUUUGUAUUUCAGCGUAUUCUCCUGGGAAAAUACCCAAGCUUUAGAGUGUGUCAUGGUGCAGAGUCAUGCUGCGGCUGGAUAAGGCGGUUAUUUGCUGUCAGCUGUCGAGCGUUUUCUUAUUCCUUAUACGUUCAUCAUCAUUUACUACAAUCUUCCAACAAUCGCAUUUUAUGACUUGUGUGUGACAGUUAUUCUUUAAAAAUAAGUAACUUUUGGUUAGAUUAAACUGCUCUAACAUACCGCUCUACUAUUAAUUAGGACAUAGAAUAAAUGUCAUUCCCCUACUCUUUCCACCCCGUCCCCCCAUCCUGCCAGUUUGGGGCUCUCACCUGAAAAUCUGUGCGGUAACUAUGCUUUGAACUCUUGGUCUGGAAGGUAAUAUUUAAGGCAGAAAUAUUCCUUAAAGAGUGAAGCAGUGUAAUUCCAUAAUUACAUUUGAAGUCAUUCCUGAUUAUGUUGUAAAGGAAGGAGAAUUGGAAAAAUUCCAUGGCCAUCCUAUUUUAUUUUUUGCUGAGACUUUGAAAAAUUGCUAAGGUAAACUAACCUAGGGUCCAUUUCACUUGUCUUUGCAAAGCAUUUUCAUAUGUUGUUAUUUCUUUAUACCAAUAAUAAUUUCACAAAAAUGGCAUGAACUUGCAUGUUUGUUUUUUAAAAAUUAUUCUCAAAGUUUUUAGAAUGAAAAGAUCUCUUUCGCUUUCAUUCCUUUUUUCUCCCCUAUUUAAGGUAAAGACAACUAACAGUUUAAUACAUCUCUUUCCAAACUACUUUCUUUUUUUUUUUCUUUUUAAUUAACCCUGGAAUAUAGGGCAAAAAGUGAAAGUCUCGCUAUACCAUACCUGCUGCCCUACGUGUGUGUCUGUCUGUAUAUGACACAUGCAUGUCUAAAGGUUGUGGUAUGUAAUUUGCAUUCAGUAAUUUACUUUUAACCUUAACACUAUGUGCUGAAAUUUUUUCAUGUAAGUACAUAGAGAUUUACUCAUUCAUUUUAAAGACUGUUCAGCAAUCCUUGAAUCAUUAACUUUUGAUUGAUCUAGCAGGAUUCUUUUUUUUUUUUUUCCUUUUUUUAAUUAAUCUAACCCCCCAAAAAUGUUCAGUGAGUACACAUACAUCCUUGUUCUUAGAUUCAAGUAUUUCUGUAGGGAUAGAUUUCUGGAAGUAGCCUGAUUCAAAGGGGUGUGCACAUUCAAAAGUGUAAUACACACUGACUGUAUGAGAGAGAGUGCUUAUUUCCUCACAACAUUUUUAACACUGCGUAUUAUCAUAUUUGAACAUUUUUCUUGAUCCGAUGUGUGAAAAAUGGUAUCUUUAUUGCUUUAAACUUUCCUGAUUACCAGUAUGGUUGAGCAUUCUUUCAAAUGUUUAUUGGUCCUUUUUUUCCUAAAAAUUACCUUUGUAUAGCAUUUAUGAGUUAAAAAAUUUGUGAUUUUCUCCUUAGUUUAUAGCAGCUCUUUACAAUUAUGGCUUUUUUAAAAAAAUUGAAGUAUGGGCGUUCCUGUUGCGGCUCUGCAGAAACAAAUCCGACUAGCAUUCACAAGGACGUAAAAAGACAAGAAAAAUUUAAAAAAAGUAUAGUUUAUUUACAAUGUUGUGUUAGUUUCUGGUGUACUGCAAAGUGAUUCAGUUAUAUAACUACUCUUUUUCAGAUUCUUUUCCAUUAUAGUUUAUUACAAGAUAUUAAAUACUGUUUUCUGUCUGCAGUUAUGGCUUUUAACUAAUAUUCGUAAUCAAUAUUUUCCGUAAUCAUUUGCCAAUUUUGUCUUUCAUUUUUCAAACAUCCUAACUUUUUUUUUAAAUGAAGUCCAAUAUUUAAUGUUUUAUUUUAUGGCUUUUGAUCUUGUGUCCACAAUGGGAACUCCCAUCUUUUCCUAUUUCUUGAAAGAACAACUGUUAGUCUUAUUGACCAAGGCUAUUUUUUCUAUUUUCUAUUUUACAUUUUUUUCUAUCAGCAUGGUUGUCUAGUUCAUUGUUUUUUUUUCCUAGCUUUUUGAAUUGACUAAAAUCACUUAUUCUUCAUCUUUCUUGAUUUCUAAUGAAUGUACUUAAGGCUGUAAAGUUUCCUCUGAAAAUCAUUUUAUCAUAUGUUGUUACAGAUUUCAAGAGGUAAUUUUCCUAUCACCAUUCUUUUAUAAAUUUUCUAUAAUUUAAGCUUUUAUUUCUUUCCAAGUAAGUUUGAAUAUGCUUUUAGUAUUAAUUUUUAGGGUUUCGUUUUAUUUUGUAGCUCAUGUAUUUCUACUUUUUUGGAUUUUUUUUUUUUUUUUGUCUUUUUAGGGCCUCACUUGGGGCAUAUGAAGUCGAAUCAGAGCUGUAGACACUGGACUACGUCACAGCCAUAGCAACACCAGAUCUGAAGCCUAUCUGUCAUGAGACCUACACCACAGCUCAUGGCAAUGCCAGAUCCUUUAACCCACUGAGCGAGACCAAGGAUUGAACCUGCUUCUUCAUAGUUUCCAGAGGAUGGUACAUCCUAUUCUCAGUCUCCGGAGACGUCACGCCUCCUGAAAUGAGGGUAGUUACACAUGGUAGAAGCAGUAAGUGUGAAAUUCCAUCUAGACUCUGAAUGCACAGGGCUGAAACCCUGGAUCUGAGCCGCUCGGCAGUGGUAUCCUCACCGCAUGGGUGAUCCGCUUGGUCUUCUGGAGAAUGAAAAGCCAGACCCAACUCAAAGCCGCAAGUUCAAGCCUUAGGAUUCGCCCAGGGAAGACGUGUGAGAAUUCCUGUCUUCAAGGCACUGAGAGUCCCAACAGACAACACACAUGAAGCGGGCAGGAAACACCUCCAUGCCAGGCUGUGAGGGCCAUACCCGCUGCAUAUGGAAAUUCCCAGACAAAAAAAGAAAAAGAAAAAGAAGAGCUGACUGUACUGUUCCUGCAGGACUGUUCCUGUGGCAUAUGAAGUUCCCCGGCCAGGGACAAAAAAAACAAACAAAAAAUCAUUGAUUUACGAUGUUGUGCCAACUUCUGCUAUACAGCAAAAUGACCCAGUCAAAGAACGUAUCUAUUCUUUUUGUCAUAUUCUCCUCCAUCGUGUUCGAUCCCAGGAGCUUGGACAUAGUUCCCGUGUUGUUCAGUAGGACGUCUUGGAUGUCCACAGGCCUUGGUUUUGGGAGGCUUCCAAGAGAAGCCCUGACAUCCAGGUUGCACUAACACUGCAGCAGCCUUGACCGUCUCAUCAUAAGACCGUCAAAGCACAGGAGUUCCCGUCGUGGCGCAGUGGUUAACGAAUCCGACUAGGAACCAUGAGGUUGCGGGUUCGAUCCCUGGCCUUGCUCAGUGGGUGAAGGAUCCGGUGUUGCCAUCAGCUGUGGAGUAGGUCGCAGGUGCAGCUCGGAUCCCAUGUUGCUGUGGCUGUGGUGUGGGCCAGCAGCUGUAGCUCCAAUUGGACCCCUAACCUGGGAACCUCCAUAUGCCUCGGGUGCGGCCCUAGAAAAGACAAAAAGACAAAAAAAAAAAAAAAAAAAAAAAAAAAAAAGACUGUCAAAGCACAGUAAAAGGAAGAGACACUGGUUCCCUCACAGUCACUUAAUGGCAAACAAACAUUUGAGGGGGUAAUUGUCCAGUGUCCUUGGAUACAGAAACGGUGUCCUAAUACGGAAUGCAGUGUCCGAAUACAGAAACCAGGUCUUCCCCAGGAUGCAUUUAUUUCAUCAAAGUUUUCUCUCAAAAUAUCUGGAUGAAACACUGGUUCUUAUAAUAAAGAGCGGUUUUGAAAGGAUCCCCUCAUUAAGUCUGUAUCCUAGAACGAGGCCAACCGCCCCAAAGAGAAGCGGCAAAGUCUGUUCUGUUUUGUUCAGUAGACACCCCGCCCUGGCCCAGGGAACUGAAUAAUGGCAGGGGUCACCCCCUGGUGGCCUCACCCUCCCACUUGAUGUCUCUGCUUACAAAUGUGUCACCUUUCCCCCGCGGGAGGAUGUCACUGACUCGGGCUUGUGGAACUGAGGGCUUGGCUGGGGCCGCUCCACCUGUACCUGGUGGCCUGGUCAGCAGGUGUCUGAGUCAGGGACGCGUUAGGCUACAGAGCGAGGACAAGGGCCUCGUGGUCCAGGUUCCCUCGGCCCAGGGCUCACUCCUAAGGAGCUACCUGACCUUUCACUGUCCAGACCAUCAAAAAACUAAAGCCGUCUCUUUUCUUUUUUCUCUUUCUUUCUAGGGCCUCACGUGGGGCAUGUGGAAAUUGCCAGGCUUGGGGUGGAAUAGGAGCUGCAGCUGCCAGCCUUUGCCACAGCUCAUAGAAAUGCCAGGUCCUUAACCCACCGAGGGAGGCCAGGGAUCAUUACGCUGAGCCACACUGGGAACUCCCUAAAGCCACCUGUUUUCUUCACCACGUCUCUGCCCACCCUCAGCUCCUUAGAAAGUCUCCAGGAGGUGGAGCUUGCCAUUGGCUCUAGGCCCUCAGAAACGAAGGCCCCUGCUGGGACUCACGUCAGAAGAAUGCAAGGGUGCUGGGAGCAGUUUGGGGCGGAAAUGGAGAGGAUUCCACAGCAACAUCCAGAACAUUCCUCCAGCAGCUGCUUUGUGUCCAGACACUGCAUGAUGUCCCCACAUGCCCUUCUCUUGUCCUCCUGCCGGACACUGCUGGAAGGUAGGUGGAACGGCAGCCCUGAUGAGACCACGGAGAUGCAGAGAGGGCCCAUGACUUACUCCAGCCACACUACUUAUUCUGAACCAGGUCUGUAUGGCCCCCAAGCUAAUGCUCUUAUUUAGUUAUUUGUUUUUUAGGGUCACACCCAUGGCAUGUGGGGGUCAAAUCAGAGCAGCAGCUGCCGGCCUACACCACAGCCACAGCAAUGCCAGAUCUUUAACACGCUGAGCGAGGCCAGGGAUGGAGCCUGCAUCCUCGUGGAUAGUAGCUGGGUUUGUAACCUGCUGAGUCACCACAGGAGCUUCCAGGCCCUUCUGUUUCAAUGCUGCCCUGCGCAUGGCUGUUGGGAGCUGGCAUCCUUGGCUGCUCUUCCUUGCCUGAUCCAUGUAAACAAUCUGUCUGGAUGAGGGCUUGUUUUGUUAUCAGCCUUGUAUCUGUCAGGACUUACCUUGUGUUCGACUCUUUGGCUCAGUGGCGGGAGGCAGAGACAGAACACAAGGAGGAGGCACCCGUGGAGAGUGGAGGAAGGACCAAAUAAAACAUAAAGCCGUUCU
RNAcentral lists this long non-coding RNA (5208 nucleotides) under Sus scrofa (pig). Its description in RNAcentral is "lncRNA (ENSSSCG00035018856.1)". The record is from RNAcentral. Lineage: Eukaryota; Metazoa; Chordata; Mammalia; Artiodactyla; Suidae.